GCUUGUUGGUAAGGAAAAGCUUUACCAAGGCUCGAUCUAAUAUGCUGAUUUGAGAGGAUGAUCAGCCACACUUUACUGAGACACGGCCCAGACGUCCUACGGGAGGCAGCAGUGGGGAAUCUGCACAAUGGAGGAAACUCUGAUGCAGCGAUGCCGCGUGAGUGAAGAAGGCCCUUUGGGUUGUAAAGCUCUUUUGUCGGGAAA
RNAcentral lists this ribosomal RNA (204 nucleotides) under uncultured bacterium. RNAcentral describes it as "partial 16S ribosomal RNA". It matches the Rfam family "Bacterial small subunit ribosomal RNA", at positions 244 to 446 of the family's 1533-position model. The record is from RNAcentral.